CAAGGAGUAGUUUAAAAAAAAAUUUUAAUUUUGGAGAUUAAAGAUAGAGGGAUUUCUUUCCUUGA
This 65-nucleotide transfer RNA is filed under the name Urodontus sp. URO01. RNAcentral's name for it is "tRNA-Pro". The record is from RNAcentral. Lineage: Eukaryota; Metazoa; Arthropoda; Insecta; Coleoptera; Anthribidae.